Molecule: ribosomal RNA, 375 nt
Filed under: uncultured bacterium
Lineage: Bacteria
Description: bacterial SSU rRNA
Rfam family: Bacterial small subunit ribosomal RNA
Source: RNAcentral
UACGAAGGGGGCUAGCGUUGUUCGGAAUUACUGGGCGUAAAGCGCGCGCAGGCGGUUUUGUAAGUUGGGGGUGAAAUCCCCGGGCUCAACCCGGGAAUGGCCUUCAAGACUGCAAAGCUAGAGGACGAGAGAGGUGAGUGGAAUUCCCAGUGUAGAGGUGAAAUUCGUAGAUAUUGGGAAGAACACCGGUGGCGAAGGCGGCUCACUGGCUCGUUUCUGACGCUGAGGCGCGAAAGCGUGGGGAGCAAACAGGAUUAGAUGCCCUGGUAGUCCACGCCGUAAACGAUGAGUGCCAGGUGUCGGGGGGCUUUGCCCUUCGGCGCCGCAGCUAACGCCUUAAGCACUCCGCCUGGGGAGUACGGCCGCAAGGUUAAA